GAUGAACGCUAGCGGCAGGCUUAACACAUGCAAGUCGAGGGGUAGAAGCAGCUUGCUGCUUUGAGACCGGCGCACGGGUGCGUAACGCGUAUGCAAUCUACCUUUUACAGAGGGAUAGCCCAGAGAAAUUUGGAUUAAUACCUCAUAGUAUGUGAGAAUCGCAUGGUUUUCACAUUAAAGUUCCAACGGUAAAAGAUGAGCAUGCGUCCCAUUAGCUAGAUGGUAAGGUAACGGCUUACCAUGGCGACGAUGGGUAGGGGUCCUGAGAGGGAGAUCCCCACACUGGUACUGAGACACGGACCAGACUCCUACGGGAGGCAGCAGUGAGGAAUAUUGGACAAUAGGGCGGCAAGCCUGAUCCAGCCAUGCCGCGUGCAGGAGUGACGGGUCCUAUGGAUGUAAACUAGCUUUUGUUACAGGAA
This 422-nucleotide ribosomal RNA is filed under the name uncultured bacterium. RNAcentral describes it as "bacterial SSU rRNA". It matches the Rfam family "Bacterial small subunit ribosomal RNA", at positions 28 to 447 of the family's 1533-position model. The record is from RNAcentral.